This 528-nucleotide ribosomal RNA is filed under the name Fusarium tricinctum. RNAcentral's name for it is "eukaryotic LSU rRNA". The stretch from base 153 to 306 matches the Rfam family "5.8S ribosomal RNA". The record is from RNAcentral. Lineage: Eukaryota; Fungi; Ascomycota; Sordariomycetes; Hypocreales; Nectriaceae.
GGGGCAUCGAGUUAACUCCCAACCCCUGUGACAUACCUUAAUGUUGCCUCGGCGGAUCAGCCCGCGCCCCGUAAAACGGGACGGCCCGCCAGAGGACCCAAACUCUAAUGUUUCUUAUUGUAACUUCUGAGUAAAACAAACAAAUAAAUCAAAACUUUCAACAACGGAUCUCUUGGUUCUGGCAUCGAUGAAGAACGCAGCAAAAUGCGAUAAGUAAUGUGAAUUGCAGAAUUCAGUGAAUCAUCGAAUCUUUGAACGCACAUUGCGCCCGCUGGUAUUCCGGCGGGCAUGCCUGUUCGAGCGUCAUUUCAACCCUCAAGCCCCCGGGUUUGGUGUUGGGGAUCGGCUCUGCCCUUCUGGGCGGUGCCGCCCCCGAAAUACAUUGGCGGUCUCGCUGCAGCCUCCAUUGCGUAGUAGCUAACACCUCGCAACUGGAACGCGGCGCGGCCAUGCCGUAAAACCCCAACUUCUGAAUGUUGACCUCGGAUCAGGUAGGAAUACCCGCUGAACUUAAGCAUAUCAAAAGUC